CACGAAAGCGUGGGGAUCAAACAGGAUUAGAUACCCCUGGUAGUCCACGCUGUAAACGAUGAUGACUAACCGUCGGCGAUACACAGUCGGUGGCCAAGCGAAAGCGAUAAGUCAUCCACCUGGGGAGUACGACCGCAAGGUUGAAACUCAAAGGAAUUGACGGGGGCCCGCACAAGCGGAGGAACAUGUGGUUUAAUUCGAUGAUACGCGAGGAACCUUACCCGGGCUCGAACGGCAGGGGAAUGAAUCAGAGAUGGUUCAGUCUUCGGACUCCUGUCGAGGUGCUGCAUGGUUGUCGUCAGCUCGUGCUGUGAAGUGUCGGCUUAAGUGCCAUAACGAGCGCAACCCUUGCCAUUAGUUGCCAUCAGGUAAAGCUGGGGACUCUAGUGGGACUGCCACCGCAAGGUGUGAGGAAGGGGGGGAUGACGUCAAAUCAGCACGGCCCUUACGUCCGGGGCGACACACGUGUUACAAUGGCGAGUACAGAGGGAAGCUACCUGGCGACAGGAUGCAGAUCUCGAAAGCUCGUCCCAGUUCGGAUUGGAUGUCUGCAACCC
This 557-nucleotide ribosomal RNA is filed under the name uncultured bacterium. RNAcentral's name for it is "bacterial SSU rRNA". It matches the Rfam family "Bacterial small subunit ribosomal RNA", at positions 752 to 1313 of the family's 1533-position model. The record is from RNAcentral.